This 225-nucleotide long non-coding RNA is filed under the name Elaeis guineensis (African oil palm). Its description in RNAcentral is "long non-coding RNA (EGUI_LNC027749)". The record is from RNAcentral. Lineage: Eukaryota; Viridiplantae; Streptophyta; Magnoliopsida; Arecales; Arecaceae.
ACUCUGAUCAUGGACCUUCUGAACCUAAAAGAAAUAUAAGGGCUAGAAAAGAAAAAGAUCUUGGUGAAGGCUUCUUUAUCUUUCUUGUUGAAGGUCAAUCUUCCACUUUUGUGGAGACAAUAUCUUCACCUGAUGUCCUUUUCUGAAAAGAAGCUAUUAAUUCUGAAUUCAACUCAAUAAUCCAAAACCAAACCUAGAUCCUUACUGAUCUUUCUCUAAGUAGUA